This 75-nucleotide transfer RNA is filed under the name Bacillota bacterium. RNAcentral's name for it is "Firmicutes bacterium (anaerobic digester metagenome) tRNA-Gly". It matches the Rfam family "tRNA". From Rfam's summary of the family: Transfer RNA (tRNA) molecules are approximately 80 nucleotides in length. Their secondary structure includes four short double-helical elements and three loops (D, anti-codon, and T loops). The record is from RNAcentral. Lineage: Bacteria; Bacillati; Bacillota.
GCGGAAGUAGUUCAGUGGUAGAACACCACCUUGCCAAGGUGGGGGUCGCGGGUUCAAGUCCCGUCUUCCGCUCCA